AUUGAACGCUGGCGGCAGGCUUUACACAUGCAAGUCGCACGAGUGGCGGACGGGUGAGUAACAUUUAGGAAUCUGCCUAGCAGUGGGGGAUAGCUCGGGGAUACUCGAAUUAAUACCGCACACUAUUAGAUGAGCCUAAAGCAGCUUAGCUAGUUGGUGGGGUAAAGACCCACCAAGGCGACGAUCUGUAACUGGUCUGAGAGGAUGAUCAGUCACACCGGAACUGAUACACGGUCCGGACUCCUACGGGAGGCAGCAGUGGAGAAUAUUGGACAAUGGGGGCAACCUGAUCCAGCCAUGCCGCGUGUAUGAAGAAGGCCUUUGGGUUGUAAAGCACUUUAGGCAGGGAGGCGUUACCUGCAGAAUAAGCACCGGCUAACUCCGUGCCAGCCGCCGCGGUAAUAC
Molecule: ribosomal RNA, 405 nt
Filed under: uncultured bacterium
Lineage: Bacteria
Description: partial 16S ribosomal RNA
Rfam family: Bacterial small subunit ribosomal RNA
Source: RNAcentral